GAGCAGAUCUGACUGCGUGUGUUAGGGCACGAGCACACCGAUCAAAUGAAAGCAUCCCUUCGGGAGAGCGCCGUGCUCGUCCACCACCCCCAGUUCAUGCAAUAUCAUGGCCAUCCUUAAAGAAAAAAUAAUAAAAAAUAGGAAGGCAGGGUUGGAACUGGAUGAGCAUUAAGGACCCUUCCGACCCAAACUGCUCUGUGAUGAUGUGAACUGUGAACCUCAGCUGUAAUGCAACCGUUUGAGCGUAACAGUUAGGCUCUGUUGGAUAUGACCCAGGAUUGUAAUGGAUGUGAGUUUAUUAGCAAGCUUAAACAACAACAGCAAAACCAGAAAGGAGUCCCUUUUAUUUUAUUUUUGAUGUCAUUUGAAAAGUCAUGGACAGAUUCUUAUGAAGCAUGGUGUGCUGUUUGUUCAGUUCAUAGUUCUGUACAGUCAGUGUGACACGUGCUCUGUAGGGGCUUUUCUCUACAGAGAAGGAAAAUAAGAAAGAAUAGGCUGCUUAUAAAGGAUAAGCAGGGAACUUUGGGUUAUCUGUUCUGGGGCUUUUAUUUCUAACCUUGAGAAAAUCAGUUGUUUUUUACUCUUCUCAUGCAAGCAAUAGAAGGUAGAAAGAGCUGCCUCUAAGUUAAAAUGCAGUGCAAUUGCAUUGUUCUCUCUUAGUGAAGGUACACUGGGGGAGUGGAGGUGUUGUUACCUUUCUUGGAAAGUAAUGAUUUCAUUGUAGAACCCCAUAUGUUACUGUAGCCAGGUACUUCUUCUGUACAUUGACUUGUUUCCAUUUUUCUAUGUCUGUAUUGUGAUAUGUUGCCUUGGUAUUGCAGUAGCUGCUUUCUUGCUUCCAAGCUGUAGGUGUAGUUGAAACUGAUGUGCAUAUGUACUCUUUAGAGUUCUGAUCUCUUUUAGACACUUUCCUAAUAUGUUCCAGGUAUGUUUUCUAACAGCAAGGAUUUGAAUGGUUUUGGAAUACAUGCUGCUAUUUCUGAUGAACUAUGUCAGAGUUAUAUGAAGAAAUGCUGUUGUUUAGUAAUAAAUACCCACAAAUGCAAAUGUUGUUUCCUUCUACAAAGCUUGGUGUCAGGUAGCUGGCCUCAAAAUGUCAAAAUAAAGUAUAGUAUGACACUUAUCUUCAUUAAUUGUAUGCCUGGUGUAACAUACUAAGCCUUUCUCUGAACUAACACGUCCGAUUAUUUUAAAUCGGUGAAUGACUCACCACCCUUAAAAAUAGUCAGUUUGCCAUAUGCCGGCUUCAGAUUUUCACCUAAAGGAUCUAUCAGCUUCCUCUUCUGUUCACCAGUGCCUUGUGGACCGCACCUCACAAACUGCUGGCUUAAAAAACACACCAGUAACAGGAAACCGGAACAACAGAGUGAGCACACAGUCAGGCUGACAGAAGCCUGCAGGCAGCCAGUGCUCAGACAGGAUCCCAGACAUGGUGAUGCUGAGAGGUGACUGUUGUCCAAGUAGCCGGUGUGUCUUCUGUCUGCUGUGGCAGAGAUGACAAAGGUGAGGAUGCAGAUUGAUUUGUAGCAAAAGGAAGGCUGUUUGCCCAUUCCAACAACCUAUCGUAGAGUCAUUAGGACUGGAAAAGACCUCUGAGAUCAUCUAGUCAACCACCGACCCAUCCCCACUAUGCCCACUAACCACGUCCCUCAGUACCACAUCCACACGGUUUGAACACCUCCAGUGAUGGUGACUCCACCACCUCCCUGAGCAGCCUGUGCCACUGCCUGAGGUAUUUAUAGGGCUUGAAAAUCCUGCCAAGCCCACCACAACUGCUCGCAGGUAGAGAUGCCAACAGGACCUGUCCCUCACCUUUUGGUCUUGACAUGAGCAAAUACAAAGUUGGGUGAAGCUGUGAGGGUGCUCUGCAGCAAAAGAACCUCUGAUAUUGGCAGCAGCAAGGAGUCUCCCUUCUGUGGCUGAGUAGCAUCAGGGAUCUUGCGCUCCCCCCUUCUUCAGGCUGUGUUGUAAGGGGGGUGGCUGCUGGUGGGGGCUGGAAUGGGGGUAUCACCUGAGUGAGGGUGAUGACCCACUGAUUCCAUUCCUCUGGAACAGAUAAAAAAAAAAAUUAGUGCUUGUUCCAUUUUGUUAUGUGAAGGUUGCAUACCAGGAACAGUCAUGUAUUGUUUGACCAAACUGGGGGAUGUGAGUGGGGUUCUUAAUGUAGCUUAUUACUUGUAAAUUAAAAAAAAA
This is a non-coding RNA of Meleagris gallopavo (turkey), 2193 nucleotides long. The record is from RefSeq and is a predicted model, not a curated record. NCBI's taxonomy places the organism in Eukaryota, Metazoa, Chordata, Aves, Galliformes, Phasianidae.